Molecule: unclassified non-coding RNA, 200 nt
Filed under: soil metagenome
Description: partial contains internal transcribed spacer 2 and large subunit ribosomal RNA
Source: RNAcentral
CCUGUCCGAGCGUCAUUGCUGCCCUCAAGCACGGCUUGUGUGUUGGGGUUCGCGGUUUCGCGGCCCUUAAAAUCAGUGGCGGUGCCGUCUGGCUCUAAGCGUGGUAAUUCUCUCGCUAUAGGGUCCAGGUGGUUACUUGUCAGAAUCCCCCACUUUUAUAGGUUGACCUCGGAUCAGGUAGGGAUACCCGCUGAACUUAA